This 952-nucleotide long non-coding RNA is filed under the name Physcomitrium patens. RNAcentral's name for it is "long non-coding RNA (PPAT_LNC012717)". Lineage: Eukaryota; Viridiplantae; Streptophyta; Bryopsida; Funariales; Funariaceae. The record is from RNAcentral.
AGAGUUUUGUGGUAGAUCUAUGGGUGAAAUUUUGUGGAUUUAUGGUAUGAAUGUGUUCAAUAUGUAUUGUGAAUUUGAGCUCAAUCUAACAGUUGAAUUGAAGGAUAUUGAGGUUUAAAUGGGUCAAGGUCUCAGAAAGUAGAAUUUUAGGUCUAGUGAGGGUUUUUAAGAUUUCUUGCAAUUAUUGGUUGGAUUGGAGUGAAACUUACAUGAAAGGAUAUAAGACUUGAUUUCUUAUGUAUAAAAGAAUUUUGAAAUCAAUCGAACGGUGCAAAAGAAAGAUAUUGGCUCUAGAAGAUUGGCAUUAAGAUUGGAGAAAGAGGCCGGCCAAUACCCGAGCACAUUUUUGAAGUUAUCAUUAAUUUGGUAACCCCGAUCCUUUUUAAUUUUUUUGUGCUUGUUUUGAACUUAGUUUUUAAGAAGUUUGAAAAAUUUGAGUUAAGAUCAAAAAUUUAUUCAUUAGUUAUUGAGGUUUAAAUCUAUUAUAUAAAUUACUAGGAUUUGGAUUAGGAUUUGGUUUAGGGUUUAGGAUUUGGAUUAAGAUUUGGUUACGGUUUGAUUUAGGAUUUAGGGUUUGGAUUAGGGUUUGGUUUAGGAUUUAGGAUUUGGAUUAGGAUUUGAUUAAGAUUUGAUAAAGGUUUUAGGAUUUGGAUUAAGAUUUAGUUAGAAUUUGAUUUAUGGUUAAGGAUUUGGUUUAGGGUUUGAUUAGGAUUUGGUUUAGGAUUUGGUUGGAAUUUGAUUUAAGGUUUAUUUAGGGUUUGAUUUAGGAUUUAGGAUUUUAUUAGGAUUUAAGAUUCAAUUUGUUUUGGCCUAAAGUUUGAAUGAAGUUCUAUAGAAUUUUAACUAGAAUUAAAUUAAGAUUGAAUUGAGAUGUAUUUGAGUGAUAUUUGUGAUCCUUCUAAUAUUUCUUUAAGAAUUCUUAUUGUUUGUUUGAAAUUUUUUUGAGGUUUUU